CUAAGUAUUGAGAAAUGUGUCCUAGCGUCUGUAAAAAACUGUAACACAAUUUGUGUUGUUUUCACACAAUAUUCAGUCAAUUACCACGUGUCUAAAAUGCAUACAUUUUCUUUUCAUACAAGCUUACCCAAAACCAAAAUCAUGGAUCUUUUUAGUCUUAUUUGUAAAAAUACAGCAUGUCAGAAAUGAAGAUCUAAUGAUCCAAACCUUAAAUACAGUAUAAAGCUUCUACUUCUGCAAUAACAACAGCUCAAAAGUAUUGAAAAAUAUUUCUAUAUAAAAUAUUUUAACAACUAAUAAGCAUUUUUAAGUAACAGAUCAAUGAAAUAUUUAGAAAUAGCUGAUUCCAUUCUCAUUUAGAGGAAUAAACAGGUGUUGAAGCUUUUUCCAUUACAUCAACAUAAAAAGACCUCUUUGAAUUGGUUUUGUGGAUGCAGAACAACACAAAGAAUCAAGGAGAGAAAAAAUAAUGUCUGGGAAAGGGAGAGAAAUAGUUGUAGGAGGUAGAGGAGUAGUUGGAUCAGAAAAAAGGAAAGAAAAGGUAGGGGAGAGGAGAGGAGUAAGAAUGUGUGCUGGACUGUGCAUUUUUAUGUUUGUUUUUUUCGCCUUACACAUAAGCUUAUGUCUGCCAUGGAAUAUAAAGGGUACAGGGUAAUUGUGACUUUUUUUAUCUCACAAUUCUGAUAAAGUCUGAAUUGCAAGAUGUAAACUUGGAAUUCCAAGAAUAUACAUCCGAAUUGUGAGAUACAAAUGGUCAUAAUUAUCAUAUUUUCUUGUUUUUCUGUGACGGAAACAAGCUUGCAUAGUAACCUAAGGCCACGUAUGUUGGAAUUUCUGUCGAUCACUGGCAUCAGCUAUCAUAGGGCACCAUCCACAUCCAACCCCGACCCACUGGAAAGGAAUUGCGAUCAAUGUUCCAAUCGAAUUUCUGCAUAGAGGACCCUAUCUUUUUCUAUUGUACAUUCUAUAAAGUAAUAAUGACUCACUCAGUUUUAGAUAGUAUAUUGCCAAGAAAGAACACAUUGAACACCUAAAAAUGUAAAAUGGGUUUCUGUUUAGGGUAAAAUCAAAUCAAAUCAAAAACAAAAAAAACAAAAAACAAAAAAAAACAACACCACCACCACCAACAAAAAACAAUAGAUUUAAAUAUUUUCUGUUAUAUUUGGGUAGAACUGAAACAUGACAAUCAAUGCAGCUUUUGUAAAGCCAUCGACUGUUAGUAUUUUGACAGUCACUGUGCUAUGACUGACUAUAUGUUUCUGUUGGAUAGAAACUAGUGGUAAUGUUUUGACCAAAUGACUCGUUUUUGAAUCAGGUUUGCUGUGUUUUGAUAGAGUUGGUAUAUGUAGAAAAAGGUAUUCAGCAUUUUGAAAUGUAGAGUUUGUAUUUAUUUAACAGAAUAUGGUUUUGGCCAGAAAAUGAACAAUUUGGCUAAUUGUGUGAUGUAGGUGUGUUGCUGUGUUAAGAGUUUAGAAAAAGUACUUCAAGUAUUGGUAAAUGCUUGUUAGCAAUUGAAAAAAACUGUAAAUACACAACAUCAGGGUUAAUGGUCAUCUCUGUUCUUAUCACAGGUUUAGGGACCCGCUCUGUGAAAGUAAGAAGUAUGAAAAUCCAGUUCACAGAGAAAAAUUGUGUGAAAAAAAUGUUGUGACCAUAGUACAGUGAUGGUAUCAGAUAUUAAUGUUGGGUAACACUUUAGAAUACAGUCCCGUUAUUAAUGAAUAACUACACAGGAAUAAAUGACUAAUGCACUAUUAACAUUCUAAUAACUACUAUUAACUUACAAGAAUCUCUGACUGACAAAUCAGUAAGUCAUAGCACUGAAUGUGGUAGUUCACUAUUAGCUAAUCAGUAACUACUAUUUUUUUAUAUAUCUUCCAGAGAACUACUAAGAACGACUAUAUAUAUGUUCAUAAUUAAUGUAAAUAAUGCAAAAUCCAUAAUUAAUUCUAAAGUGAUGAUCAUGGUAACCCACUAGUAAUGACUCAGGUAUUACCAAAUACUUCAGAAGGAAUUACUAAUUAUUUGGAUCCGUAUUCUAAAGUGAAGAUCAUGACGACUAAAGUCAUUAAAAACUAUUGAGGUUUUUGUAAGGUUCUGGAUAGUCAUACUUCCGAUGGCUUUGGUAACACUUUAUUCAUUACUAGUGGGUCACCAUGAUCUUCACUUUAGAAUAUGGAUCCAAAUAAUUAGUAAUUCCUGUUGAAGGAUGUAGUAACACUUGAGUUAUUACUAUCCAAAACCUUACGUACACUGUAAAAAAAAAAAAAAAAAAAAUGUAAAAAAAACGGUGAUACACCAUUAACUGAAGUAACGUGUUUGCACAGCAAUAUGAGAAAUGGUAUACUGACUAUACAAUGCCAAAAAAUGCUUAAAUUGUAAUCUGAAAUUUCAUGUUUUAUCUGUGUAAUUAACAAACACGCACAGACCAUUAAAUUAAAUACCAUUCUUUGACUGUGAAUUGAAAUAACGUUUAAACCCUUAUUUCAUGAAACAUGUUUUAACUGUAGAUGUAAAAAAACAUGGUUAAACAGUUACUUAACUAACUAAAAUUUGACUGUAGAUAUACAUAACAUGUAAACCCAUUAUUUAAGAAAGAAUGUUUUGACUGUAAACUUAAAUAAAGUUUAAAUUGUUGUUUAACAGAUUUUGACUGUAAAUUGAAAUAACUUGUGUCAGCCAAUAUUUAAAAAAAAUGAACUGAAAUGGACCAUAAUUUUGAAUUACGUGUACAGCACUUUAUUUUAAAAUUCCCACCCCAGGUUUAAAUGUUUCACUUGUAAAAAUGAUUUUAAAUAUAAUAUACAUAUGGUAUCAUGAUUAUGGCUGUUAUUUUCCAUUAAGCUAUGACAACAAAAAUGAAUUUAUUACAGACAAUCAAUAUUAAUUGGUCCCCCUGUAUUUUCAUGUAAUGCAAUAAAGUUUCUGUUGUAAUUAACAACAAUCUUAAAUCUAAAAACAGCAAUACCAAUUCAAACAUUUAAACUUAUUCCAUUAAUAAUAAAAUAAGUAAAUACAUAAAAAAAAAAUCUAGACAUCUCAAAACAUUAUGCUAUAAUUUUUUGUAUAAAACAACAUCAACAAAUACAAUUAAUAUCAUCAUUGCAUUUCAAGUCUUCCACACACAAGGGUUUGGACAGACCAAUGGGUACAACUCCAAUGCAUCUUGGUGUUGGUUUUGGUCCUUUAAAAGAAAGCGAAAGAUAGAGAGAGAGAGAGAGAGAGAGAGAGAGAGAGAGGUUACACAUCUCAAUUGUAAAAGUUUCAAUUUGAAGUAAAAGUGAGGUUAUGUGUGUCCUAAAUUUCACGCAUCACUCCACGUGUCCUUGAGAGAUGUACUUCUUUUUUUGAAAUGAAAAAGGUUUACACAGUUAGAGGGUAGCUAAAUUUGGAUUGCUACAAAUAAAUUUAGACAGUGUGACACAGACCUCGUUGUGAUUUUAGAGACAAUUUAAAAAUCAAAAAUCCAAAAUAUUUUCUGGUAAUUGCGUACCUCUACAUGUUGUGGAUUGUUAUUGUCCUGUCUUUGAUGUAAAUUAUGGCCGCCGCCAUCUUUGAUUUGAACAAUGCUGUAAGAAAAACAGCGACAAGCGACAAGUUCAUCAUUAAGUUCAUCAUUAAGUUCAUCAUUAUAAAGUUCAGCAAGAUAUUACCUGCCAGUGGAGAUGAAACGCAGCCUUUAUUUCCGCACUGGCACAAAAAUUAUGGUAGUUGCUUCGAUGGGAAAGCGUGACUGGAUGUACACAGAGUUAUUGGCACCUCACGUUAACUCCAUCAGGCAACGCACACAAGGUCUCUGCAGGACCUGAUUUGCUCACAUCACAGUAAGGUUAGGAGUGAGGUUAGGCCGUCCUUUUCGUUGCAUGAUUUUAAAACACCCUAUGCCUGCUGUCACGUUUAUAGUUUUUAUUGUAUGACGUGACAAGUUGAACGGUGCGUGUUUUCCAUACUGCAUGUGGUUGCUCGCUACUUCACUUGAAUUCAGGCGUCAGUUCGUUUAAAAAAUCUAUAAGUAAAAGUUUCUCUCAAGUAGGCUAAGUAAAGUGUGUGAACGUGAUGGUAUUAAGCAACAUAUUCUGCUGUGUGGAUCCCCAAAGUGACAGAACGACAACAAAUCAACACUGGACCUUGAUGUCAAGUAAGUGUAUUUUUUUAUUCAAGUGAACUGCCAUCCAGCGUUAGUUUAAAUGUUAAUGGCAAACAGGUGGAAAUGGCUAAUUACAUAAGCUUUAAAUUGUAAGCGAAUCAUCUUGUAGUUUAGAUCAUGCAAGUUGCUAGACUGUUUGUUGAAAGAUUUUGAAGUGAUAUUUGGGCUACAGAACUGUGUAGUUAUUUUUAUUUAUUUUGUUUUAUUGCUGCAGAGUUUGGUUCUGGUUGGUUGUUUUAUUUAUUUGUAUUUUUUUUUUUUAGAACUUAAGGAAGCAGACUCAUUGGAUGGACAAAUUAUUUCGUAUCAGGUUUGUUACCUUCAACUAUAUUGAUGUAUUUGUGCAAUUGUGAUUGCUCUCUUAAGACAGUUAAGGGAUAGGUUAGUCAUCAGGGCCAGUUGCAUAAACUUAGCCUCUAUGUUAAGACAGUGUCUUAAGAGCUAGUUUGACCAGCUAGCAGUUAGCCAAAGGGUAAUCAGUCUUAUUUUUUGGAUUCAACUUAGACUAAUCUACAUUUUUAUGUAACUGAAUUUAAAUAAUGACGACCAGCUUUAAAGAAAAAAAAUAGCUGGCUUACUUUUAAGACUAGUCUUAACCUUUUAUGCAACUGGCCCCAGAUCUUACACUGACAUGAAACGAAUGCUCACAAUCCAUGUUGUUUCCCAGACUGCAAACUUAAGUUCACAAAAUACAGUGCUCUCAAAGCUCAUGUUUAUUGCCAUCACAAAAGACAACAAACUCAAUUGGAUGAUUCAGUGGGCACAUUUGUUUGCAACAGUUCAAACUGUCAGCAGAAAUGCCCAGCCAUAAACAAAGUCCUUUCUCAUCUUAGGUCACAUUUAGCAACGGGAGAGGUGGUAUGUUGUCCUUUUGAAAAAUGUGCCAAAAUAUUCAGUUUAAGAUCAAGCUUUUCGGCCCAUGUUUCACAAAAGCACAGGACUUCAACAUUUGCUAAAUUAAAAACUACUUUAUCUGAACAACGUUUUUUCUCAGCAUGUUUUGAUGUAACUGAGGAUGGAGGUGAUGAAAAUGAAUUCUCAGAUUCGCUGACUAAAUCUAACACACAGUCAUUGUACAUGAAAAUACUUUGUCUGUUUUAUAUGCAGCUGCAAGCCAAAUACCUGGUGCCAUCGUCAACCAUUCAGAUGAUUGUAGAGGAAUUAAGUAAUUGAAAUGAUAUUGGUCAUCAGUACACAAGGAAAAUACUAGCCAUAGAGGGUUUGAAAAGCCUAGGUGUGGAGACCAUCGAUGACCUACAGUUUCUGAAAGACCAGGAUCUAGCUGGCUUCUUAAAACCAAUUAAGCAAGAAAACUAAUUGCCCAAGUUUUGAAAUCAAUGGUCUGCAUACAAAUGUAUACAACAUGCAUUCACUUGACUUGACAAAUAACACACCAUUCUUAUUUUAUUUUGUAUUUCGUAGCUGUAUUCUGUACGUGUUGCACAGUAUCUCAAUGUUUGUUGAUCUUUUGGUAUCAAUGCCAGUUUUGUUGUUUAUGCCAUUUAGAUGUUACUUUCACUCAGCAAAACAGUACAAAUGAGACAUCUGCUGAAUACACUUCUGAUACAUCAGGUUCACCUGGUCCUGGAUGCUCCACUUCAUCAUCAAGCAUUUCAACUGAAAGAUCAAGCAGGAAUGAAAGCACACUUUAAAGAGCUCACAGGCAUUGACAUGAACGACAGCUUUGAAGAAGCCACUACCAGUGAAUUCAGAAGAAUAUCCGAGUACUUUCAGUCUCAGUGCACAGAGAGGGCAAGCAGAGCAGGGAGAAUCCUCACCAAGAUUUGAACUGGAGGGGAUCAUGUUUGUGGGGCAGUGAUGUUGUUGCUCACCCAUUUAAAAAAUUAUGAAGACCAGUUUCUUGUGAUGGUAGAAGACACUUGUGUUCCAAACGAUAUAUGCCCAGAGCAGCUUCCACCUACUCCAAUAGUGUGUGGAGAGAACCCACUGACAGCCAGUGUAUACAUGGUAGCAGUAGACCAGAUGAUUGUAAAUGAACAUCUUUUGAGUUGUACUGAGGCCCUGUAUUUGAUAUUUUCCCUCUACUACAUAUUGAACAGAAGUUACCCUGUAGAACUGGGAGAAUUCUUGCACAGAUGCAGGCAUUCAGAAAUGUGACAUUCGUCUCCACGGUACAGGCCAAACUUUUUGGACUGUAACGCAUGACUUUUGUUCCUUCAAAAUUUGUUCUUUCAGUUUUAUUUCCCCAGGACAUGCUCUGUAUUAUUAGUAUCCAGGCCCAACAGGGUCAUUUUUAUUUUAAUUAAUUUUUAUUUUUUUUUAAUGUAGCUACACAUUUGUGUCUUGAAGCGUGUCUUUUGCUGGAAAUGUUCUUAAUAAAACAAAAUGUUCUUAUUUCUAUGGUUUCAUUUUAAAAGCUUGCUAUAUAGCUAUAAACAGCUUGUUGGCUUGCUUC
Labeo rohita (rohu) is the source of this 6563-nucleotide long non-coding RNA. RefSeq lists it as uncharacterized. Lineage: Eukaryota; Metazoa; Chordata; Actinopteri; Cypriniformes; Cyprinidae. The record is from RefSeq and is a predicted model, not a curated record. The transcript has 4 exons.